This 465-nucleotide ribosomal RNA is filed under the name Vreelandella stevensii. RNAcentral's name for it is "partial 16S ribosomal RNA". It matches the Rfam family "Bacterial small subunit ribosomal RNA", at positions 338 to 795 of the family's 1533-position model. Lineage: Bacteria; Pseudomonadati; Pseudomonadota; Gammaproteobacteria; Oceanospirillales; Halomonadaceae. The record is from RNAcentral.
CCUACGGGCGGCUGCAGUGGGGAAUAUUGGACAAUGGGCGAAAGCCUGAUCCAGCCAUGCCGCGUGUGUGAAGAAGGCCUUCGGGUUGUAAAGCACUUUCAGUGGGGAAGAAAGCCUUGGGGCUAAUACCCUCGAGGAAGGACAUCACCCACAGAAGAAGCACCGGCUAACUCCGUGCCAGCAGCCGCGGUAAUACGGAGGGUGCGAGCGUUAAUCGGAAUUACUGGGCGUAAAGCGCGCGUAGGCGGUCUGAUAAGCCGGGUGUGAAAGCCCCGGGCUCAACCUGGGAACGGCAUCCGGAACUGUCAGGCUAGAGUGCAGGAGAGGAAGGUAGAAUUCCCGGUGUAGCGGUGAAAUGCGUAGAGAUCGGGAGGAAUACCAGUGGCGAAGGCGGCCUUCUGGACUGACACUGACGCUGAGGUGCGAAAGCGUGGGUAGCAAACAGGAUUAGAUACCCGAGUAGUC